This 253-nucleotide ribosomal RNA is filed under the name uncultured bacterium. RNAcentral's name for it is "partial 16S ribosomal RNA". It matches the Rfam family "Bacterial small subunit ribosomal RNA", at positions 524 to 776 of the family's 1533-position model. The record is from RNAcentral.
GACGAACCGUGCGAACGUUGUUCGGAUUCACUGGGCUUAAAGGGCGCGUAGGCGGGCACGCCAGUCAGGGGUGAAAUCCUCCGGCUCAACCGGAGAAGGGCCUUUGAUACUGCGUGCCUCGAGGGGGGUAGGGGCGUGUGGAACUUCGGGUGGAGCGGUGAAAUGCGUAGAGAUCCGAAGGAACGCCGGUGGCGAAAGCGACGCGCUGGACCCCACUGACGCUGACGGCGCGAAAGCCAGGGGAGCGAACGGG